AUGCCUGGAGGCAGGACUGCCCACUCGAGGUUCAAGAUCCCAUUGAGCUGCGACGAUGGCGCCUCAUGCACCUUCACGAAGCAGAGUGGUACCGCCAAGCUACUGAGGAUGGCCUCAUUGAUACUAUGGGACGAGGCCACCAUGACUAAGCGACAGGCGGUCGAGGCACUCGACAACAGCAUGCGCGACAUCAUGGGAAGACGGGACCGACCCUUUGGAGGAAAAACUGUUGUGUUUGGCGGGGACUUCAGGCAGGUGCUUCCAAUCGUCAGGAGGGGGUCCCGGGGUCAGAUAAUCGAUGCAAUCCUUCAAAGUUCACAUCUCUGGAAGGGUAUGCGCCAGCUAAGGCUCGUCACCAACAUGAGGGCUCAUAAUGACACCUGUUUUGCGGUUUACUUGCUAAUGGUAGGCAAUGGUACCGAGGAAGUUGACGAUCAAGGAAACAUACAGACUCCCUGA
Molecule: ribosomal RNA, 459 nt
Filed under: Triticum aestivum (bread wheat)
Lineage: Eukaryota; Viridiplantae; Streptophyta; Magnoliopsida; Poales; Poaceae
Description: partial small subunit ribosomal RNA
Source: RNAcentral